AUAAAAAUAAGCUAAUACAAGCUAUUGGGCUCAUACCCCGACAAUGAGAUGACAAACUCUUUUUACA
RNAcentral lists this transfer RNA (67 nucleotides) under Obscurella hidalgoi. RNAcentral describes it as "tRNA-Met". The record is from RNAcentral. Lineage: Eukaryota; Metazoa; Mollusca; Gastropoda; Architaenioglossa; Cochlostomatidae.